GAUUUCUGGUACGGUUCGCCUGGUCCGCCGCCGUUUCAGGCGUGUGAGUACCGGUGCGGGCCUGCCAUCCUUCCGGGGCGCGCGUCUACCCUUCACUGGGCCGGGCGCGCCACCCGGAUCGUUUACUUUGAAAAAAUUAGAGUGUUUAAAGCAGGCGUCGCCGCUCUGAAUACAUUAGCAUGGAAUAAUGGGAUAGGACUUGGGUUCUAUUUUGUUGGUUUCUAGGACCGAAGUAAUGAUUGAUAGGGACAGUUGGGGGUGCUGGUAUUCAGCGGCCAGAGGUGAAAUUCUUGGAUUCGCUGAAGACCAACUUAUGCGAAAGCAUU
This 326-nucleotide ribosomal RNA is filed under the name uncultured Paracercomonas. RNAcentral's name for it is "SSU rRNA". The stretch from base 112 to 326 matches the Rfam family "Eukaryotic small subunit ribosomal RNA", at positions 741 to 955 of the family's 1831-position model. The record is from RNAcentral. Lineage: Eukaryota; Cercozoa; Cercomonadida; Cercomonadidae.